RNAcentral lists this ribosomal RNA (511 nucleotides) under uncultured Pelospora sp. RNAcentral's name for it is "bacterial SSU rRNA". It matches the Rfam family "Bacterial small subunit ribosomal RNA", at positions 30 to 523 of the family's 1533-position model. The record is from RNAcentral. Lineage: Bacteria; Bacillati; Bacillota; Clostridia; Eubacteriales; Syntrophomonadaceae.
CGAACGCUGGCGGCGUGCCUAACACAUGCAAGUCGAACGGAGAUAUUAAUGAAGCUUGCGAUUUAAUAUCUUAGUGGCGGACGGGUGAGUAACGCGUGGGUAAUCUGCCCAUAAGUGGGGAACAACAGUUGGAAACGACUGCUAAUACCGCAUACGCUGUCGCAAGACAGGAAAGGUGGCCUCUGAAUAUGCUGCCGCUUAUGGAUGAGCCCGCGUCUGAUUAGCUAGUUGGUGGGGUAAAGGCCUACCAAGGCGACGAUCAGUAGCCGGCCUGAGAGGGUGAACGGCCACACUGGGACUGAGACACGGCCCAGACUCCUACGGGAGGCAGCAGUGGGGAAUAUUGCGCAAUGGGGGAAACCCUGACGCAGCGACGCCGCGUGAGCGAUGAAGGCCUUAGGGUUGUAAAGCUCUGUUUUAAGGGACGAAUGUUACGGGGAGUAAUAUGCCCUGUAAAUGACGGUACCUUAAGAGGAAGCCCCGGCUAACUACGUGCCAGCAGCCGCGGUAA